This 248-nucleotide ribosomal RNA is filed under the name uncultured bacterium. RNAcentral's name for it is "partial 16S ribosomal RNA". It matches the Rfam family "Bacterial small subunit ribosomal RNA", at positions 524 to 770 of the family's 1533-position model. The record is from RNAcentral.
UACGGAGGGUGCGAGCGUUGUCCGGAAUCAUUGGGCGUAAAGGGCGCGUAGGUGGCCCGGUGAGUCUUUGGUGAAAGCGCGGGGCUCAACCCUGCGUCGGCCAGGGAUACUGCCGCGGCUCGAGCACUGUAGAGGCAGGCGGAAUUCCGGGUGUAGCGGUGGAAUGCGUAGAGAUCCGGAAGAACACCGGUGGCGAAGGCGGCCUGCUGGGCAGUGGCUGACGCUGAGGCGCGACAGCGUGGGGAGCA